AGUGAACGCUGGCGGCAGGCCUAACACAUGCAAGUCGAGCGGCAGCGCGGGGGCAACCCUGGCGGCGAGCGGCGGACGGGUGAGGAAUUCGUCGGAAUCUGCCUUUUUGUGGGGGAUAACGUAGGGAAACUUACGCUAAUACCGCAUACGUCCUACGGGAGAAAGUGGGGGACCGCAAGGCCUCACGCAGAAAGAUGAGCCGACGACCGAUUAGCUAGUUGGUGGGGUAAAGGCCCACCAAGGCGACGAUCGGUAGCUGGUCUGAGAGGAUGAUCAGCCACACUGGGACUGAGACACGGCCCAGACUCCCACGGGAGGCAGCAGUGGGGAAUAUUGGACAAUGGGCGCAAGCCUGAUCCAGCCAUGCCGCGUGUGUGAAGAAGGCCUUCGGGUUGUAAAGCACUUUUGUCCGGAAAGAAAUCCCUGGAGCUAAUACCUUCGGGGGAUGACGGUACCGGAAGAAUAAGCACCGGCUAACUUCGUG
Molecule: ribosomal RNA, 484 nt
Filed under: uncultured bacterium
Lineage: Bacteria
Description: partial 16S ribosomal RNA
Rfam family: Bacterial small subunit ribosomal RNA
Source: RNAcentral